CGGCACCGAGCCCCAGGACUGCGGGCUGGGCCAGCACUGAGCCCCGGGACCACGGGGCUGGGCCAGCCCUGGCACUGCCACUGAGCCCCUCGGACCGUGGGGCUGGGCCAGCCCUGGCACCAGCACUGAGCCCCUCAGACCGCCAGGUACCACCAGGGCUGCAACAGCUUCAACCCCGUCUGGUUUCCUGAAAGGUGUAGACCUUUUUUUCUCGUGGGAAAGAAACUGUUACCAACUUUUGCACAUAAUACCUUAGCAGUAUCCCAGAGGUGGCAAACGAUCAGGUUCACUGUAUGUAUUAGAGUUGUGUAUUGUUUAUUGAGCUGAGAACUGGAGAAAGGAUUUCUGUAAAAAAGCAAAACGUACAUUAUUUUUAUACCAGUCAAUUGCAGACGCUUAUAUUUAAGUAUAGUUAUUUGUUUAAACAUGGUGGAGACUUUCUUACACUGGUUUUAGUCUGCAUGUGUUCAAAGAUUUUUACAAAAAAUAAAAUAUAAAGCUUUUUUUUUUUUUUUUUACUGCCUGUUGGAUGCCAAAUCCGUGGAAACUAAAGUUGAUUUUCUUACAUGCCAGGGCUUUGACCCAUGUGCCUGAGUGGGACUCGGGGUGUGGGUGUGCUGCUGUUGGGAGGGGAAAAUUGGGAGAGCCUUGGAUGUUUGUAUCCUCAGGGGGUGCAGCUGGGAAGCCCCACAGCAGUUGGAAUAAAUGGUCAUGGACUUCUCUGAAGCAGCUUCUGGGCUGCUGCUGUUCUGUGUGGGAGCAGGAACUGCUGGGACACUCCUGGAGCUGGAGCUGCUGUGAGAGCUGCAAGGGGAGAGGAGGAAUCGGGUCUGGUUCUUCAGCUGCUGCUCAGGCAGCACCAAGCCCCGGAGCCUGCAGGUGCUGCAGGCUGGUCCCUGUCACGGGCAGUGCCAGGCUCUGCCAGGCAGAUGUUCCACAGCCCUCGGAAAGGAGAGGAAACCUGAGCAGCAGCUCCGUGCCUGCUACAUCUCUGUCCUCUGUCCUGCUGGGCCCCCUCUGCAGCUGCUCUGGAAAGGCUGAAAGUUUGUUACUGAUACUGGAAGGAUGAGUGUGGACCAGGAGCUUUGGAUGGUUUGGGAAGAGAAAAAAUGAACAAUCAGAGAAUAUUUUUGGUGGAAAUUGGCCCAACAGGUCCCUCUCAAGGGUUCAGUCACCCCAAACCCACAGGUGAGUGGCAGCAGGUGAUAAAGGCCCUUUUCCCAGGAAAGCUUUCCCUGGUUGCUGCUCCUGCCAGGAAAUGCUCAUAGAAUCCAGGAUUUCACAUCAGGAUUUUGGGGGGUUUUUGGGUCUGUGACUCUCCUGUCCGUGCUCCUUGUCACUUCCAAGCUCCCUGGGGCAGGAAGCAAAGCCUCCUGGCCAGGCUGGCAAUCACAUCCACUUUGGAAAAAGCACUCCAGCAAAGGAAACAGCUUUCCAUCCCCUCCUCUUGCCUGGCCACAGCCCAGCAGGGCCAUUCAAACAAAAGUUAAAAUUAGUAAAGCUGGCCUGAAGAAAAAGUCUUUAUAUUCCAGUGGAAGGAGAAAACUUGGCAAAAGUGACCAUUUUUGUCCCAGGAUGGAGAAUCCUCCUGGAUGGGUUUGCUGGAGAGAACAAGGGGCUCGUGUCCCCACCCUG
This is a non-coding RNA of Lonchura striata (white-rumped munia), 1635 nucleotides long. Lineage: Eukaryota; Metazoa; Chordata; Aves; Passeriformes; Estrildidae. The record is from RefSeq and is a predicted model, not a curated record.